This 28-nucleotide non-coding RNA is filed under the name Mus musculus (house mouse). Lineage: Eukaryota; Metazoa; Chordata; Mammalia; Rodentia; Muridae. The record is from RNAcentral.
ACUAUGACUACCUGGUUAUGUCUAUGAC